This 117-nucleotide ribosomal RNA is filed under the name Oncorhynchus mykiss (rainbow trout). The record is from RNAcentral. Lineage: Eukaryota; Metazoa; Chordata; Actinopteri; Salmoniformes; Salmonidae.
GCUUACGGCCACACCGGCCUGAGUACGCCUGAUCUCGCCUGAUCUCGGAAGCUAAGCAGGGUCGGGCCUGGUAGUACUUGGAUGGGAGACCGCCUGGGAAUACAGGUGCUGUAAGCU